Molecule: small nucleolar RNA, 89 nt
Filed under: Cephalotus follicularis
Lineage: Eukaryota; Viridiplantae; Streptophyta; Magnoliopsida; Oxalidales; Cephalotaceae
Description: Small nucleolar RNA Z221/R21b
Rfam family: Small nucleolar RNA Z221/R21b
About the family: Z221 is a member of the C/D class of snoRNA which contain the C (UGAUGA) and D (CUGA) box motifs.
Source: Rfam by way of RNAcentral
GGGCAGUGAUGAAUUAAUUUGAGAAAGUCAUGCACCACUCUGAUAUUUCCGUGCUGAUAAUUCUCUUUACCCAUUUUUUUCCUGAGCCC